Molecule: ribosomal RNA, 491 nt
Filed under: uncultured bacterium
Lineage: Bacteria
Description: partial 16S ribosomal RNA
Rfam family: Bacterial small subunit ribosomal RNA
Source: RNAcentral
AGUGAACGCUGGCGGUAGGCCUAACACAUGCAAGUCGAACGGCAGCACAGUAAGAGCUUGCUCUUACGGGUGGCGAGUGGCGGACGGGUGAGGAAUACAUCGGAAUCUACUUUUUCGUGGGGGAUAACGUAGGGAAACUUACGCUAAUACCGCAUACGACCUACGGGUGAAAGCAGGGGAUCUUCGGACCUUGCGCGAUUGAAUGAGCCGAUGUCGGAUUAGCUAGUUGGCGGGGUAAAGGCCCACCAAGGCGACGAUCCGUAGCUGGUCUGAGAGGAUGAUCAGCCACACUGGAACUGAGACACGGUCCAGACUCCUACGGGAGGCAGCAGUGGGGAAUAUUGGACAAUGGGCGCAAGCCUGAUCCAGCCAUACCGCGUGGGUGAAGAAGGCCUUCGGGUUGUAAAGCCCUUUUGUUGGGAAAGAAAAGCAGCAGGUUAAUACCCCGCUGCUCUGACGGGACCCAAAGAAUAAGCACCGGCUAACUUCGU